This 3551-nucleotide long non-coding RNA is filed under the name Mus musculus (house mouse). Its description in RNAcentral is "long non-coding RNA chr19:16355483-16359034". The record is from RNAcentral. Lineage: Eukaryota; Metazoa; Chordata; Mammalia; Rodentia; Muridae.
GCACAUGUUUCCUGGGACAUAUGUUGAAGAAUGGGCACAUGCCUGAGCCCAGUCUGCUUACUGUGGACUCUAGAACUGCCAAGUGAUAUAGCAUGUGGGAAGAAGAGUGGCCAUCUUAGCCACAGGUGUUAGCAAUGUCAAGGGAACAGCACUGAGCUUGAGAUUUUAAAUGUUUGGCACAGAAGUAGAAAUGUUAAACCUUGUCAAAAGAAAGAAAGCAAGUAAAUGAAAGCUAAAGCCUUGUUUCUUGUGCUUGUGAAGGUAGAUCCUCACUUACUGGAAGAGUGUAACGUGUUUCCAAUGUGCUUGUUUCCAAUGUGCUCAGAGUCCUAACUCUUAGGUUCCAUCUCAUGAGAAUAGUUGGAUACCAGGUCUUGGGCAAUGUUAGUUUGCAGGUGUGAGCUCAGCCUGUACAUCUUAGACUCUAACCUCUGGUUGGUGAAGAAGCCAGAGCACUUAGCAAGCUGCAGUCAGAGGCUAUGAGGGAACAGCUUUGAGAAGCACAGUGAAAGCCAGCGUGUGUGUGUGUGUGUGUGUGUGUGUGUGUGCUCUCGCUUACAGGGGUAGGAAGCGUCCUGAGUGUUUCCAAAUGAAGCCUGGAGGACCCCAUCAGUCAGCAGUGACUUCUGUUCUCUGCUUUCAGUUAUUUGCUCUUCUUUGUGGUGCAGAAAUUCUAAAUAAAAUAUUCAUAAAUAAGCAAUGGCUUAUUUAUUGCUGCCACAAUCAUUCUAUUACACUAUUGUUCUUUUUACCGUCUUACUGUGUUAGGUUUAUAAGUUACAUAUUGGCGUUGUUACAUAUGUAAAGGUUUGAGUGCUCCUUAGGGUCUUACAUUUCAGGACUCUUAGUCUUGUGUUUGGGGUUCAUUUUUUAAUUCUUUCUUAGGUUUAUUUUAUGUGUAAGAGUAGUUUUGCUUGCAUGUAUGUAUGUGCAGUAUAUGUAUGUAGUGACCUCAGUGUUCAUAAGACAGAGUUGGAUUUCCUAGAAAUGGAUGCUUGUAAGCCACCCUGUGGGUCCUGACAACUGAACCUGGGUUUUCUGCAAGAGCAACAAAUGCUUUUAACUGCUGAGCCAAAUCUCCUGUCCAUUUUGGAUUUUGUUGGCAGUUCCGAUUCUGUUGUUCUGUUGUUGCAGUGCUGGAAUCCAGCCCACAGCUUUGUGCUCUGUCGCUGGGCUGCUUCCGGCAUCAGGGUCCACUGUUAUAAUGUAUAAACAUAUAUAGUUAGCAUAAAGGCAAUUUGAUAUAACAUUUCUAGUGAGUUUUGACUGCAGUGUUUCACAUGAGGUCAGAGAGAAUUUUCAAAUUAUGUCAGUAUUCAGUGUUUCAGAUUUUGAAUCAUUUAAAUCAUUUCAAAUUUCAUAUAUUCAAGUUAGGAAUCAUAUCAUUUCUAUGAGGUACAGGUAUCUAUGGGGUUUAUAUUAUAUGAGGAUUCAUCCAAGCACCUUCUUAAAACAGGUACAAAGUGAUUGCUGUGUUGUAGAUGAGGGGUUAACAUGUUUAGACGGUGAAUAGCCUUCCAUGGAUAUUGAUGAGAUCUGCUCAGGUUGCCGUCUGUAAUUGUAGCUGCUCAUAAAUCUAUACGGUUACGUUUUCCACAUCUUUCCUGUAAAGGACUCUAUUCCCCUCUAAAUCCUAUUCAUUUGUUUGGCCACACCCAGGACCACAUUGUAUCUGCCACCAAAAUUCUGAUAAAGUAUUUCAUGGCUAGCAACAGAGUUUUGAAGGAGCACGGGAACAGCUCAGCCUUUUUGCUCUGUUUCCUGGGAUCGUUAAAGCGAGGUUAAAGUUGAGAUGAGCUGAUUCGUGUGAAGUACCUGUUUUGUCAAGGCCUAUGGAAGGAGCAUCCUAGGAACUGGUUGGUGACUGUGGUUUGGUCUGUUGGUGUGGAACUCUAGUGGGCAAGACACCAUCCCCAUCUCUAAGGAACUUCUGGUUCCCUCAGAGAGACACUAUAGACAGUAAAGCAUUUCUAUAGCAGUAAGGUCAAUGCUGGGAAACACCCAGCCGUCCUGGCUGACCCUAGGCAGUGCAUGUAAGCUUUGCCAGCGGCAAGCUGCUAGCAUGCUCUCCCAAAUGCCCCUUUAACUUGGCCCUUCCAUGCUUCUUCAACCAUUGAGGAUUCAAGAAAAGAUUAAAAUUUUGCUUUCAAGGGAAAAAAAUCUCCCUUCACUCUGACAUAAAAAUCCCAAUAGCUAAGGAAAAAAAAAGAUCUUAAAGAUAAACUCAUGACAAGAGUUUUCACAUUUUUUUUUAAAUUCUGUUGCUUCAAAUUAGGAAAUUGUAGCUCCAUUCAGUAAGUCUGCAAGGCUAUUUAAUAUCAUUAGACAUUCCACUGUCUGGGGAACUUUCUAAUCCUUCUGAUACACUGAUGUUUCAAGACUGACUGUGGUGGCUUCUGUUGUUGCUAUCAUGGUCUCAGUGCCGCCCUGUGCUGUAAGGAGGAAGGAUAGCAACCCCAAGUACACAGACGAGCAAGAAUGUACCUGAGCAGUGUGACUUCAAGAUCAGACAGUCUCAAGUCCUCCCUCAUUUGCAAAAGUCCUCAAGAAAAGCAACUACAGCUUGCCCUAAGAGAGUGCAGAUAGAGAAAUUUGACAAAAUUUAAAAACACUUUGAAUUUAAAAGGCAAAAUUCAGUGAGUUUUCAGAAAUACUUCAGAACUACAAGAGACAAUAUAUCUAACAAACCAAGGAAACUAGAAGCCCUGGAGCAAGGGCAAGAAAUUGAGUUUUAGUCUUGGCUUCGCCAAAACCACUAAUGGGCUUUGGCCUGCGCAAGCUGCAAGUGGGUAUCUAAUCUGGACAGAGUAGAUCUAGGCACACCUACCCUUCCAGCCACCUCCAGUCCUUGGUGCUUGGGUGCAAACAGAUGGUGUCAACCCUCCCAACCUGGCAGCUGCAUUUGUUUGUUUAGCAAAUGUUUACAAGGUGUCUGCUUCCUGCACUUCCUGCCCUUACAGGAGUGAGGUGCACCGUAGUGGUUAGAGACCCUGAAGCAGGGUCUCCUCUGACUCUCUCUCCUCAGACCUUCAAGCUUCCCUUUAACUGUAAAUGGGAUGCUCUUGCCACCUUUAUCAGGGACCUUAGCUGUCCCCUCACCCAGAGACCUCUCUAUAUUCAGCUUUGUUAACCGCUUGACAGUUCAGCUCCACGCAGAAAUACCGGUCAGACGGACUGACUGACAAGUGAUACCGAGGGUUGGACUUAAUUUUGCAGUGAGGUUUUUACCUGCCUCUUAGAGAAGUCUUUUACCGUGCAGUCUCCAGGAGGGAAUUUCCAAGCUCUCUGUAGUGGAUGAGUCUAUCUCAGCCUGACACAUCUGCAGCCAGCUUUUAAAAGACAAGUUAGUCCUUUCAGAUUAAUUUGAGCAUUUCCCUUGACAAGCCACAGUUUCUGGUAACUUCAGUUGGGUAAUCUGGCUUUCUUGGUUGGUUGGUAGGAGAGUUUCUUAUGAAGCCCCUGUUCCUUGCUGCUCUGCCUAGUUGUCCUGGCAAUAGCCAUCAACUUGAAAUCACAGGAAGUAAAAGGUCUUAUUUAUAAUUAUUAUUACC